UUUCAUACGCUCUUUUGCUUCUCUUUUCUAUUCCCGACCCUAACCUUUUUUCCUAAACUCAAUUCACCAGAAGAAAAAGAAAAGAAAAGAAAAGAAAAGAAAAUUACAGAAUCGAAGAUCAUAUGAUGAUACCAAGCUUGGAAAGGGAAACCCUAAAGGUAAAUACUAGUCCAGUUAACAAAGACGAAGAAACAGAGAUGACAAUGGAUUGUAAAACCCCAACCGGGCUGAGACAUAAAAUACCAGAGACGACAUGGGAUUGCAAGACCCCGACUGGGGAGGAACACAAAAUACCUAUCCUGAACACUUGCCCUCCAGCUCCAGGUCCAAGGUGGCUUCUGGAUUCUCUCUCGGAGAAAAAGAAGGCGUCGAAGAUGAACUCUGAUGCCGAGCCAAAGGUAAUAAUGUUACAACCUUUUAAGGCAUCCAAUUCCUAAGAGAAAUAGCGGGUCUCCGAUGCGCGCUGAGGGUUAUGUUAGAACUUUGAAUAGUCCAGUUAGAGAAAUUAGAAUAUUGCAACAUUCUUUUCAGAAAGAUAGAUACAGGGUAUGAUUUUUCUCGGGUUGCAAGUAGAAGGUCAUGGAACUUAUGCUGAUUAAAAGGACAAGAUUGAUAGGUUUUGGAAUUUCACAACGAGGUAGUAAUUAUGCUUUGAGACAUAGUCAACAGCGUAAUUAGAAAACUGGAUUAUAAUCUUAAUUUGGAUCUUUUCAUUUAUUUUUUUAACGUAAUGUUGUUGUUUUAAUCAGCAUCUUUAUUGAAUUAUUUUUAUAACCACAAGAAAUUAAGAAGAUUGGUAGAAGUUCUGGGCAUACAAAACCUUGCCUGCUAUGCUGUGUACAUGCGUGUGUAAACGUAGAAUCCAAUUAUCACUGGUAUUUCUUUUGAUUAUUAUAAUCUUCUGGGAAAGUUUGUUUUAAUUUCAUGAAAAACUUUUGGGGAAGCUGUUACGUGGCAUUUUCCAUUUUCUUUCCGAGAAUCACCACCAUCUAGCCGUCUUCCCUUCGAGUCAUGCCUAGUUUGGCUUGUAUUAGAUGUCUGGAAAUUAUUUGUUAAUUUUCUCAUCUUCUCGGAGGAGCACUGACAAGUGACAACCCAGUUUCUUAAAUUGCUGGUUUGGCCCCUGACAAAAUAACCGUUGAUGUUUUAUACUUUAUGAUACUUGCAAACAUUAGAAGUUUGCUGAGGAGGCAUGAAGAUGCAGCUGGUAAUCUUUUGCCUGUGGAUUUUGUCUCCUUGCGGUUAUAUUUAAUGAUCAGAAAAUGAUUACUAAGUCCAACAUCGUUUCAUUUGUGCGUACUAUGAAGUUCAAUUGAAUCGAGGCGUGCGGAGUAUGACAAGUCGAGGUACUGUUUUAUUUUCACGAGAAUCAAGAGAUCUAGUGUUAUAAAGUUAGAUUGCAUUUGCCUUGUGUUUUAAAAUUGUGUUUAAUAUAAAAAAUAUUAAAUUAAUAUUUUUUAAAAAUAUUUUGAUAUAUUAAUGUAAAAAAAUAAAUCUGAAAAAAUAUUUUAAUAAGUUUUCAUGUAAAAAAUACUUUUAAAAAAUAUUAUACAAUUAUAAAUAAAUUACAAAUGAUUAGAAAGGCAAACUUGUUAACUUUAAGGUUUUAUUUUAAAUGGAGAUUGAUCAGUUUUAAAUCCAAUGAUUUUUUAUUUUUAUGUUUAUCUAAAAUGAUAUUUUUUUAUUUAAAAAAAACUAAAAUAGCUUUGUUUUAUUUUAAAUUGUCCUGAUAAACCCACAACCAAACCGAGUCUAAUAACAGAUUGAGUCUAAUAAUUAUGAGCAAAAGUGUUGCAGCGAAGACCUAUAGAAUGCAGAAAUCAUCACCAGGUAUGAAUAACAAACAGGGGCAGACAAGAUACAGGGUUGUUUGCAGAUUACAUCCAUGCUAUCAGAUGACUAGCAUGCUCGACUUCUUGUUUGUCGGGGGUUCUGCACAGUGAUUUGAACCUCUUCUUGUGCGGGUGAAUUUAAAUUGUUGAAGAGCUGCUUCAGCUUUGCUCUUGAAUUUAGAAUACCUCUGCAUUUCCAAGGAGCAGCGGCUAGAGUUUUUAGCCACUUGAUUGUGUUUCAUGAAUCUGAUUAGCUAGUUGUGUUUUUAUUGGUGGAGCUUAUUUCUAAAGCUUCAGUAAUCCUGUGUAGCUCCACCUCCUUUGAGUUAAUUUUUCCAGUGGGGCUUGGAAAAAUACAGAUGAAUUUUCCAGCACCGUUGUGAAUAACUCUCGUGAAGUCCGCAGCAUAAGGCUUUCCGAUA
This is a long non-coding RNA of Populus nigra (black poplar), 2254 nucleotides long. RefSeq lists it as uncharacterized. NCBI's taxonomy places the organism in Eukaryota, Viridiplantae, Streptophyta, Magnoliopsida, Malpighiales, Salicaceae. The transcript is spliced from 2 exons. The record is from RefSeq and is a predicted model, not a curated record.